GGAAAGUAGCUCAGUUGGUAGAGUUCCUGCCUUACAUGCACAAGACCCUGGGUUCAAUCCUCAGCACCA
Molecule: transfer RNA, 69 nt
Filed under: Marmota monax (woodchuck)
Lineage: Eukaryota; Metazoa; Chordata; Mammalia; Rodentia; Sciuridae
Description: tRNA.Val
Rfam family: tRNA (bases 6-65)
About the family: Transfer RNA (tRNA) molecules are approximately 80 nucleotides in length. Their secondary structure includes four short double-helical elements and three loops (D, anti-codon, and T loops). Further hydrogen bonds mediate the characteristic L-shaped molecular structure. tRNAs have two regions of fundamental functional importance: the anti-codon, which is responsible for specific mRNA codon recognition, and the 3' end, to which the tRNAs corresponding amino acid is attached (by aminoacyl-tRNA synthetases). tRNAs cope with the degeneracy of the genetic code in two manners: having more than one tRNA (with a specific anti-codon) for a particular amino acid; and 'wobble' base-pairing, i.e. permitting non-standard base-pairing at the 3rd anti-codon position.
Source: RNAcentral